GGAAAGAUGAAAAGAACUUCGAAAAGAGAGUUAAACAGUACGUGAAAUUGUUGAAAGGGAAACGAUUGAAGUCAGUCAUACCAACGGGAAAUCAACCUUUUGAGCUUUGUAUCGUGGGUUCGAAGAGUUUAAACGCCUUCGGGUUCGCGAGAUUGGGAUCUUCUGGUGUACUUUCUCGUACGGUUAGUCAACAUCGGUUUUGAAUGUCAUAAAAUGACUGGAGGAAUGUGGCUUCGAUCUCGUAUCGAAGUGUUAUAGCCUUUGGUAGAUGUGAUGUUUGAGACCGAGGAUUGCAACGGAUACCCUUUAAGGGCUAUUCGUCUGAUCUCUGAUACGUUACCUUGAUGUUGAAAGCUUGCUUAUGAUGUUAGGGUAUUACGGUCAAAAGGUUAGAACGGAUUAAAUUCGUUAAGGAUGUUGACGUAAUGACUUUAAACGACCCGUCUUGAAACACGGACCA
Molecule: ribosomal RNA, 460 nt
Filed under: Funneliformis coronatus
Lineage: Eukaryota; Fungi; Glomeromycota; Glomeromycetes; Glomerales; Glomeraceae
Description: LSU rRNA
Rfam family: Eukaryotic large subunit ribosomal RNA
Source: RNAcentral